UUCUAUUUUAGGAAAAUUUUUUUAUGCAACAAUUGCAUAUACAAUAAAUAUAUCAUAAUCUUUAAUUAUAAUGAAACCCAUGUGCAACCCAGUAUAAUCAAUGAUCACAAUCUAAUCAUCUAAUUUUAUACAUAAUAAAUAAUCAGAAUAAAACCGUUAAUCUAUGUUUUAGUUGACAAUUCACCACCAUUAAAAUUAGUUUUGAAUUCAACAUAUAUGGUGGUAAGAAAAUUCACCCCUUCCUCUCGCAAGAGAUGUAGAACAAGGAAAAGGAAAGGAAAAAUUCAUCAUUUGUUGUUCCUGGAAUUUUGCAGGUUGGAAUAUAUGGCAAUGAAGCUGCUCACCCCAGCAAGAAUUAUCACUAAUACUGCCAUGAUCCUAUCCCUUGUUGUAGAAAUGCCAUGAACAUCCCUGAGAAUGAUCAAGCCUGGAAAAAUAAAUGAGAGAAAAACAAUGGUUGUUGAUCCCAUGAACUGGAAAAAAUACCAUAUAUUGGGUAUGGCCAUUGCUGUUAUAUAAGUAACAGCUAAUAGAACACAAGUUAGAGACACAAAUCUUGUAGUGUCCAUGGCUAAUAUAGGCCUCUUAGGGAAGAGCAGUUCAUCUAUGUUAGCCCUCAAAGAGAAGCUCAUCACAGGAUAUACGAAAACCAAGUGGAUUGCAUAGCUUAACCGGACAGAAUCAUUGAGUAAUCGGCCGAUUGGUGUAUCAGAAUUUCGAUCAAAGUUUACUAGAAUGUCAGGCAUGAUCGAGUCACCGAAUAGUAAGUAGCCAAAGAAACCAAUUGCAAAGUAAAUUGCAAUGCCAAUGAUGAGGGAAAUCCUGACAGCUGAGUUCAUAUCAGAAGGUUUUCCAAGUUCUGAUCUAAUGGGGUGAACUGCAUUCAUUAAACCAAGUUAAUUAAUACGCAUUCAUUAAUUUGCUAAUUACCAAAUUGAAAACCUUAAUGGUUACCAUUAACAUGGAAUCCCAAACCAGUUACAAAGACUGGGAUUGUGGUGAAAAGAUCAAACAAGGAUGCUUGAUUGGCAAAAUCUGGGAAUAGUCUAAGUUUCUGAGUCUUCCCUUGCCACAUUGCAUAAACUGCCAUUGCUGAACUUAUGGCUACAAACACUAGUGCAAGGAGAAUGGAGACUCCUGAAGUGAACUUUAGUGAAUCUGGGAGAAAGAAGCAAAAAUCUCAAUGACAAAAUUAAAACAUAUCGUGAAGAAUUCCAUAAUUUUCCUUUCUGUCAAAAUCAAUCAAUACAAGGCUCACCUACUCGACGUAAUAAGACCAGGGGAAGCAUCACAAUAAGCACUAGGAAUAGAAGGGCAUAAGCUCGUGAGUUCCACCAAUGGAUACCAAACCAUUCUUGUAGAAUGCCUAGGUGCAAGGUUUCACCAGAUUGAUUCCCACACAGAACAUCCCCUAGGAGAAGAGUACAUGAUUUAUUAGACACUGUCUGUGGUGAUAUGAUAGAAAAGUGUUUCAAUCCUAGCGCGCAAAGAAGUGAUCAAAUUAUUCAAGUUUUAAGGCCAGAACUCAGAUUAUGUGUUGUUAACAUGGUACACUGGGGUUCAAGAAGGGGUAAACUACUCAAACAUUUGCUUCCCGAUAUACAGAAACAUUUAUUCAAACAUGAAAUCUGCAGCUGAGGACUCUGCAAAAACAACAUUUUCUGCAGAAGGAAACAGACCAUAAUCAAACAAUUCACAGCCAAUUAAGACUUUGAUAAACCUUGAAUAAUAUCAUUGAUAACCCUAAAACCUCAAAUGAAGUAAACAAGUGAUAUUGAAAUGAUGAGCUAUUGCUGCUUUCGCAUCACAUUCACACCCACCCAUAAUUGUAAAGCAGGUGCUAUGGAUAUCUAUGGAACAUGUAAAUUCAACCUGCAGAUCAAGAAAUUGUUAAACAAGAGGUAACAAAACUUACCAAUUAUAAUCAGAUAGAUGAUAAGACAGCCAAGGUUGGUGAUUAUGACACAUAUUUGUACUCCAAUUGAUCCUAUUGUACCAAAUGAUUCCCCCAUAAGGCCAGCAUAGGUACUGGACUGGCCUGAUUGCGUGUACCUUAGCAUGAACUCCACAGUUACCUCUACAAAAAAAGCAACUAUAAGAAGUAAUAUGAACCCAGGAAUUAUGCCUAGCACCUUGAUUGUUGCUGGAACUGACAUAAUUCCAGCACCUAUCAUGGUUGUUGAUAUGUUGAGCACUGCUCCAGAAAUUGAUGCAUCAUUUACGAUUUGAUUUUCUGAAGAUUCAACCUCAGGCAGGAGCGGAACGAUCAAUCCAGUGUCG
This 2280-nucleotide unclassified non-coding RNA is filed under the name Hevea brasiliensis (rubber tree). The record is from RNAcentral. Lineage: Eukaryota; Viridiplantae; Streptophyta; Magnoliopsida; Malpighiales; Euphorbiaceae.